UGAUGACAAGAUCAAAUCCGCACAUAUCAAUACUAACUUUGAAUGUAAAUAGGAAAUGACCCAAUUAAAAGGCACAGGGUGGGCUGGGCAUGGUGGCUCACACCUGUAAUCCCAGCACUUUGGGAGGCCCAGGUGGGCAGAUCACUUGAGGCCAGGAGUUUGAGACCAGCCUGGCCAACAUGGAGAAAGCCCAAAUCUACUAAAAAUACAAAAAAUUAGCCAGGCAUGGUGGCGUGUGCCUGUAGUUCCAGCUACUCAGGAGGUUGAGGUGGGUGAAUCACUUGAACCUGGGAGCCAGAGGUUGCACUGAACUGAGACUGUGCCACUGCACUCCAGCCUGGGUGACAGUGCAAGACCCUGUUUAAAAAGAAAAAAAAAAUGUCACAGAAUGGCAACCUGGAUAAAGAAGCAAGACCCAAUGACCCAAUGGUAUGCUGUCUUCAAGGGACCCAUCUCGCAUGCAGUGACACCCAUAGGCUCAAAAUGAAGUGAUGGAGAAAAAUCUACCAAGCAAAUGGAAAACAGAAUAAAAGCAGGGGUUGCUAUUCCUAAUUUCAGACAAAACAGACUUUAAACCAACAGAGAUCAAAAAAGACAAAGAAGGGCAUUACAUAAUGGCAAAGCAUUCAAUUCAAUAAGAAGACCUAACUAUCCUAAAUAUAUAUGCAUUAACACAGGAGCACCUAGAUUAAUAAAGCAAGCUGUUAGAGACCCACAAAGAGACUUAGACUCCCACACAAUAAUAGUGAGAGAUCUCAACACCCCACUGACAGUAUUAGAUCAUUGAGGCAGAAAAUUAACAAAGAUAUUCAGGACCUGAAUUCAAUACUGGACCAAAUGGACCUAGCACAAACAUCUACAGAACUCUCUACCCCAAAACAAGAGAAUAUACAUUCUUCUGAUUGCCACAUAGCACGUACUCUUAAAUUGACCACACAAUCAGACAUAAAACAAUCCUCAGCAAAUUAAAAAAAAAAAACAUACCAACUACACUUUCAAGCCAUAGCACAAGAAAAAUAAAAAAUCCAUACUAAAAAAAUUGCUCAAAACGAUACGAUUACAUUGAAAAUUAAACACCUGUUCCUGAAUGACUUUGGGGUAAAUAAUGAAAUCAAGGCAGAAAUCAAGAAGUUCUUUGCAACUAAUGAGAACAAAGAUCCAACAUACCAGAAUCUCUGGGACACAGCUAAGGUAGUGUUCAGAUGGAAGUUUAUAGCACUAAAUGGCCACAUGAAAAAGUAAGAAGGAUCUCAAAUUAACAACCUAACAUCAUAACUAGAGGAAUUAGAGAAGCAAGGGAAAACCAAUCCUAAAGCUACUAGAUGACAGAAAUAACCAGAAUCAGUGCUGAACUGAAGGGAAUUAAGAAACAAACAAAAAACAUAUAAAACAUCAACAAAUCCAGGAGUUGGUUCUUUGAAAAAAUUAAUAAGAUAGACUGCUAGCUAGACUAAUAAAAAAAGGAGGGAAAUCCAAAUUAACACAAUUAGAAAUGGCAAAGGGGGCAUUACCACUUACCCCCAGAGAAAUACAAAGAAAAAAACACACACACACACACACACACAAAACACAAAAAACCCAGACAGUACUAUGAACACCUCUAUGCAGACAAACUAGAAAAUCUAGAAGAAAUGGAUAAAUUCCUGGACACAUACAAUCUCCAAAGACUGAACCAGGAAGAAACUGAAUCCCUGAACAGAUUAGUAAUGAGUUCCAAAAUUUAAGCAGUAAUAAAAAGCUUACUAACCAAGAAAAGCCCAGGACCAGAUGGAUUCACAGCCGAAUUCUACCAGAUAUAUAAAGAGCUGGUACCAUUCCUACUGAAACUGUUCCAAAAAAAUGAGCAGGGACUCUUCCCCAACUAAUUCUGAGGCCAGCAUCAUCCUGAUACAAAACCAGGCAGAGAUGCAACAAAAAAAGAAAACCCCAGGCCAAUAUCCCAAAUGAAUAUAGAAGCAAAAAUCCUCAAGAAAAUACUAAUAAACUGAAUCUAGCAGCACAUCAAAAAGUUAAUCCACCAAGAUCAAGUAGACUUUAUCCUUGGGAUGCAAGGCUGGUUCAACAUACAUAGAUCAGUAAAUGUGAUUAAUCACAUAAACAGAACUAAAAAAUUUCCCAAAACCACAUAAUUAUCUCAAUAGGUGCAGAAAUAAAAGAGAUGUGAAUAAAAUUCAACAUCUCUUCCUGUUAAAAACCCUCAAUAAACUAGGCAUUGAAGGAAUAUACUUCAAAAUAACAAGAGCCAUCUAUGACAAACCCACAGCUGACAUCAUACUGAAUGGGCAAAAGCUAGAAGCAUUCGCCUUGAAAGCUGGCACAAGACAAGGAUGCCCUCUCUUACCACUCCUAUUCAACAUAGUACUGGAAGUCCUGUCCAGAGCAGUCAGGAGGAAGAAAUAAAAGGCAUUCAGAUAAGAAUAGAGGAGGAAGUCAAACUCUCCCUGUUUGCGGAUGACAUAAUUCUAUAUCUGGAAAACCCCAGAGUCUCUGCCCAAAAGCUCCUUGAUCUGAUAAACAACUUCAGCAAAGUUUCAGGAUAUAAAAUUAAUGUAUGGAAAUCAGUAGCAUUCCUAUACACCAACAACAUCCAAACCAAGAGCCAAAUCAGGAACACAAUCCCAUUCACAGUUGCCACAAAAAUAAUUAAAAACCUAGGCAUACAGCUAAACCAGGGAGGUGAAAGAUUUCUACGAUAAGAGUUACAAAACACUGCCAGAAAUCAGUGAUGACACAUACAAAUGGAAAAACAUUCCAUGUUUAUGGGUAGAAAGAAUAAAUAUUGGCUGGGCAUGGUGGCUCAUGCCUGUAAUCCCAGCACUUUGGGAGGCUGAGGUGGGCGGAUCACGAGGUCAGCAGAUUGAGACCAUCCUGGCUAACAUGGUGAAACCCCUUGUCUACUAAAAAUACAAAAAAUUAGCUGGGCGUGGUGGCAGGCACCUGUAGUCCCAGCUGCUUCGGAGGCUGAGGCAGGAGAAUGGCAUGAACCCGGGAGGCAGAGCUUGCAGUGAGCCGAGAUCGCGCCACUGCACUCCAGCCUGGGCGACAGAGUGAGACUCCAUCCAAAAAAAAAAAAAAAAAAAAAAAAAACACAGAAUCAAUAUCAUUAAAAUGGCCAUAGUGCCAAAAGCAAUUUACAGAUUCAACACUAUUUCUAUCAAAGUACCAAUGACAUUCUUCACAAAAUUCAAAAACUAUUUUAAAAUUCAUAUAGAACUAAAAAAGAGCCAGAAUAGCCAAGGCAAUCCUAAGCAAAAAGAACAAAGCUGGAAGCAUCACAUUACCUGACUUCAAACUAUACUACAAGGCUAUUGUAUCCAAAACAACAUGGUACUGGUAUAAAAACAGACCCAUUGUAUUAGUCCAUUCUCACACUGCUAGGAAGAAAUAACCAAGACUAGGUAAUUUAUAAAGGAAAGAGGUUUAAUUGACUCACAGUUCCACAUGACUGGAAAAGCCUCAGGAAAUUUACAAUCAUGGUGGAAGGCAAAGAGAAGCAGGCACCUUCUUCACAGGGCAGCAGGACACAGUGAGUGCAAGCAGGGGAAAUGCCAGCCACUUAUAAAACCAUCAGAUCUCGUGAGACUCACCCACUAUCACGAGAACAGCAUAGGGGAAACCACCCCCAUGAUUCAAUCACCUCCACCUGGUCCUGCCCUUGACACAUGGGGAUUAUGGGGAUUACAAUUCAAGAUGAGAUUUGGGUGGGGCCACAAAACCUAACCAUAUCACACAUAGACCAAUGGAACAGAAUAGAGAUCCCAGAAAUAAUGGUACACACCUACAACCAUCUGAUCAUUGACAAACCUGACAAAAACAAUGGGGGAAAGGAUUCCCUAUUCAAUAAAUGGUGCUGGACUAACUGGCUAGUCAUAGACAGAAGAUUGAAACUGGGCCCCUUCCUUACACCACAUAUGAAAUCAACUUAAGAUGGAUUAAAGACUUAAAUGUAAAACCUAAAACUAUAAAAACUCUGGGAGAUAACUUAGGAAAUGUCAUUCUGGACAUAGGACCUGGCAAAGAUUUAUGAUGAAGACACCAAUAGCAAUUGCAACAAAAACAGAAAUUGACAAAUGAGACCUAAUUAAACUAAGAGUUGUUUUACUGAAAAGAAACUAUCAACAGACUAAACAGACAACCUACAGAAUUGGAGAAAAUAUGUGCAAACUAGGCAUCUGACAAAGUUGUAAUAUCCAUAAUCUGUAAGGAGCUUAAAUGAAUUUACAAGAAAAAAAAACAACCCCAUUAAAAAGUGGGCAAAGGACAUGAACAGACACUUUUCAAAAGAAGAUAUACAUGUGGUUAACAAGCAUAUGAAAAAAAUGCUCAACAGCAUUAAUCAUUAGAGAAAUGCAAAUGAAAACCACAAUGAGAUACCAUCUCACACAGCAGAAUGGCUAUUAUUAAAAAGUAAAAAAAUAACAGAUGCAGGCUGGCUGCUGUGGCUCACGCCUGUAAUCCCAGCACUUUGGGAGGCCAAGGCAGGCAGAUCAGCUGAGGUUCAGGAGUUUGAGACCAUCCUGGCCAACGUGGUAAAACCCCAUCUCUACUAAAAAUACAAAAAUUAGCCAGGUGUGGUGCCAGGUGCCUGUAAUCCCAGCUACUUGGGAGGCUGAAGCAUGAGAAUCACUUGAACCUGGGAGGUGGAGGUUGCAGUGAGCCUAGAUCAUGCCAUUGAGCUCCAGCCUAGGCAACAAGAGUGAAACUCUGUCUCAAAAACAAAACAAAACAAACAAACAAAAAAACAGAGGCUGGAGAGGUUGCCAAGAAAAGGGAAUGAAGGGACUGCUUAUACACUGUUGGUGGGAGUGUAAAUUAGUUCAGCCACUGUGGAAAGCAGCAUGGUGAUUCCUCAAAGAACUUAAAAUAGAAUUACCAUUCAGCCCAGCAAUCCCAUUUUUGGGUAUAUACCCAAAGAAAUAUAAAUCAUUCUACCAUAAGGACACAUGCACAUGUAUGUUCACUGUAGCACUAUUCACAAUAGCAAAGGCAUGGAAUUAAUCUCAAUGUUCAUCAGUGGUAGAGUGGAUGAAGAAAAUGUGGUACAUAUACACCAUGGAAUACUAUGCAGCCUUAAAAAAGAAUGAAAUCAUGUUCACUGUAGCAACAUGGAUAGAGCUGGAGGUCAUUACCCUAAGCAAUCUAAUGUGGGAACAGAAGGCCAAGUACUACAUGUUUUCACUUACAAGUGGGA
This 5191-nucleotide long non-coding RNA is filed under the name Homo sapiens (human). RNAcentral's name for it is "non-protein coding lnc-TMEM242-6:1". The record is from RNAcentral. Lineage: Eukaryota; Metazoa; Chordata; Mammalia; Primates; Hominidae.